Molecule: long non-coding RNA, 2304 nt
Organism: Protopterus annectens (West African lungfish)
Lineage: Eukaryota; Metazoa; Chordata; Ceratodontiformes; Protopteridae
Exons: 3
Source: RefSeq, a predicted model, not a curated record
GGAUUUCUCCAAAAGUAGUGAAGAUGAGUGAUGUGGUCGCACACAAAGAGUCUUGUCUCGGCUGUGUCCUGCGGGAUAUUUUUGGUUUAGUUUUUUAUGCUGUGAAAUUAUGCGGAAACUUACUGCGCUUCAUUGGAUGGACAGUGAGCGAAGCUGGAAAAUUGAUUUGUGACUGUACAACGUGUUUUCAGGAUUGGUUUAAUAAGUUCGUAGAUGAUCUUAUAUCUUGUUGCGGCGACUAUGGAGACCCCAUGAUUUGCCAGAAAGGACAAACCAAAUAUGAUAAAUAAAAUCUGGACAUCCUGUGAAAUUCUGGAAAAUUGAAAGAUUCACAUCUGAACUGAAGUUUUCUCUUUAAAUACACAAUUCUUGAAUUUACAAAAGGUUUGCAUGAGAGAAGUAUCUUCAUCCUGGGAAAGUCAUGAGCUACAGAUGUUCAUUCUGCAAAACUAAAUGUAUACGGUGGAGGACUUUGACCAUCACAUAUUUUCUACUUUGCAUUUUACCUAUCAGUCUGGGAAGAAACUGGUUGUCAGGGUAGUCUGUGAGAUAUUGCUUAAUAUAUUAUUGCCAAUUGCAGUUACCUUAGUAGCGAUGAAGUGUAUCAAAAACAAUGGUCAAGAAUCACAUAACAUCCUGCCUAACUGCUACAUUUGAUCCUUUGCAAUUCACAUAGAGGCCAAAUUGUUCUAUUGCAGCUCCCAUAGGCUAAACACAUCAUCACACCUUGGACCACCUGGAAAAUAGACUGUUAUGUACGCAUGCUGUUCAUAGACUUCAUCUCUUCCUUCAAUAUGGUAAUUCCACAACAGCUGCUGUUCAUGUUGAGUAAUCUAGGCAUAGAAAACAAGUUAUGCAACUGGAUCCUUGAGUUCCUGACUGAAAGGCCACAAAUAGUUUGAGCAGGAAAACAUCACUCAAACAGCAUCACCCUAAACACCACGGUCCCAAAAUGUUGUGUACUCGGUCCAUUUCUUUCACAGUUCUAACACAUGACUGCACAGCUACUCAUCAUUCAAACAGAAUCAUCAAAUUUGCAGAUGACACCACAGUAAUUGUCCUCAUCAAGGAGGAAGAUGAGGGGAGCUUACAGGCAGGAGGAUGAACCAACUCAUUCAUUGGUGCACUGACAACAACUUGGCACUAAAUGUUGGGAAAACCAUGAAAAUCAUCAAUUUUAGGAAGGAUAAUAAGCCACACACUCCUGGCAUCAGUGGUGUUGCAGUGGAGUGACUAAAUCGCACCAAAUUCCUAGAGGAAUAUUUCUCCCAGACUUAAGUUGGACCACAAACACUUCCUACCUUAUAAAGAGAGCCCAACAAUGUCUCCACUUCCUUAGGUGACUUGGUAGAGCUAAACUCUUGCCACAGGUACUACUUACCUUCUACAGAGCCAUGGCUGAGUGCCCACUGACAAACAACAUGAUUGCCUAAUGUGGAAAUUGCUCGCAGGCCGAUCAGAAGCCACUGGAUAAACAUUAAAUGGGACACAAAAAUCAUUGAUUCCAGCCUUCAGUCCCUACAGGAUAUAUUCACAGAGAUGCUAUGGGAGAGUCCGAAAACAAUUGAGGGGUAUACACCAUCCAGCUCAUGGACUGUUCAAACUCCUGCCAACAAGGAAGUGCUACAGAAUCAUUAGAUGCGGGACGUCCAGAUCCCAUAACUUCUUCCCACACACUAUCAGACUGCCAAAUAACAAACCCAUAGCUUAAUACGCUACAUGGUAAUGAUUCCACCACCUCCUCCCCCUACUGUGUCUCCUCCCCGUUUCUCAAUCUCUGCCUACUCUGCUUCUUCUCCCCCCUCAUUCUGCCACUAUGUCUCACUAGUACCUAUACCUGUUUGUAUUACUAGACUCUUCCGACCGUUCCCUUCCACAACACUCCAGUCUUCAGUCUAUACUCCUACUUCCAAUAUCUCCCUCCUCUUUCUGUACCCUGCCUCUUCCUUUCACUGCAUGCCUGGAUCACUCUCUUCCAUGUGCCUCACCACACUUGUACAUAUAUUAGUAAUUUUCCCUACCAAUGAAUUGAUUUUCAGUCUGCAUCCUGUGCUUAUAAGAUGCACAAUAGUAUAUUUCUGUUUGAAUUUUGUACAAUGUAUGAGGAGGAACAAAAUGAAUCUAUUUCUGCUGCAUGUACCUCCUUUUGAUUUUUAAAUGCUGUAUUGAUUGCAUGUGUAAAUACUUACUUUUUUCUUUACUGUUAUGGACCUUUUCUCCUUGAGUUUCUGCUGAAAAAUGGCACCUGUCCAGCCAGACAACCCAGUUAACAAAUGGCAAAGAAAUAAACAAAUGGCAAAUAAA